AAGCAUAUCAAUAAGCGGAGGAAAAGAAACCAACCGGGAUUGCCUCAGUAACGGCGAGUGAAGCGGCAACAGCUCAAAUUUGAAAUCUGGCCCUCGGGUCCGAGUUGUACUUUGCAGAGGAUGCUUCUGGCGAGGCGCCGCCCAAGUCCCCUGGAACGGGGCGCCGGAGAGGGUGAGAGCCCCGUACGGUCGGCGGCCGAGCCUGUGCGAAGCUCCUUCGACGAGUCGAGUAGUUUGGGAAUGCUGCUCUAAGCGGGAGGUAGACCCCUUCUAAAGCUAAAUACCGGCCAGAGACCGAUAGCGCACAAGUAGAGUGAUCGAAAGAUGAAAAGCACUUUGAAAAGAGGGUUAAACAGCACGUGAAAUUGUUGAAAGGGAAGCGCUUGCGACCAGACGUGCGCCGGGGUGCUCCGCGGGCGUUCUCGCCCGCGCACUCGCCCCGGCGCAGGCCAGCGUCGGUUCGGACGGGGGGACAAAGGCGCCUGGAACGUGGCUCCCCCGGGAGUGUUAUAGCCAGGCGCGCCAUGCCCCCGACCGGACCGAGGUUCGCGUUCUGCAAGGACGCUGGCGUAAUGGUCCCCAGCGGCCCGUCUUGAAACACGGACCAAGGAGUCGAGGUUUUGCGCGAGUGUUUGGGUGACAAACCCGCACGCGUAAUGAAAGUGAACGCUGGUGGGAGCUUCGGCGCACCACCGACCGAUCCUGAAGUUUACGGAUGGAUUUGAGUACGAGCGCAGGGCCUCGGACCCGAAAGAUGGUGAACUAUGCUUGGAUAGGGUGAAGCCAGAGGAAACUCUGGUGGAGGCUCGCAGCGGUUCUGACGUGCAAAUCGAUCGUCAAAUCUGAGCAUGGGGGCGAAAGACUAAUCGAACCGUCUAGUAGCUGGUUACUGCCGAAGUUUCCCUCAGGAUAGCAGUGUUGAUCUCAGUUUUAUGAGGUAAAGCGAAUGAUUAGGGACUCGGGGGCGCUUUUCAGCCUUCAUCCAUUCUCAAACUUUAAAUAUGUAAGAAGCCC
RNAcentral lists this ribosomal RNA (1014 nucleotides) under Sporoschisma taitense. Its description in RNAcentral is "LSU rRNA". It matches the Rfam family "Eukaryotic large subunit ribosomal RNA", at positions 36 to 1083 of the family's 3401-position model. Lineage: Eukaryota; Fungi; Ascomycota; Sordariomycetes; Chaetosphaeriales; Chaetosphaeriaceae. The record is from RNAcentral.